GAUGAACGCUAGCGGCAGGCCUAACACAUGCAAGUCGAGGGGCAGCGGGGAUAAGCUUGCUUAUCCGCCGGCGACCGGCGCACGGGUGCGCAACGCGUAUAGAAUCUGCCUUGUACUGGGGAAUAGCCCAGAGAAAUUUGGAUUAAUGCCCCAUGGUAUGUAGGAGCGGCAUCGCUUCUACAUUAAAGGCUACGGUACAAGAUGACUAUGCGUCCCAUUAGUUAGUUGGCGAGGUAACGGCUCACCAAGACGGCGAUGGGUAGGGGCCCUGAGAGGGGGAUCCCCCACACUGGUACUGAGACACGGACCAGACUCCUACGGGAGGCAGCAGUGAGGAAUAUUGGACUAAUGGGCGAGAGCCUGAUCCAGCCAUGCCGCGUGCAAGGAAAGACGGUCCUAUGGAUUGUAAAACUGCUUUUAUACGGGAAGAACAAAGGGCACGUGUGCCCCUCUGACGGUACCGUAAGAAUAAGGAUCGGCUAACUCCGUGCCAGCAGCCGCGGUAAUACGGAGGAUCCAAGCGUUAUCCGGAAUCAUUGGGUUUAAAGGGUCCGUAGGCGGGCCAUUAAGUCAGGGGUGAAAGUCUGCAGCUCAACUGUAGAAUUGCCCUUGAUACUGGUGGUCUUGAGUUAUAGUGAAGUAACUAGAAUAUGUAGUGUAGCGGUGAAAUGCAUAGAUAUUACAUAGAAUACCGAUUGCGAAGGCAGGUUACUAACUAUAUACUGACGCUGAUGGACGAAAGCGUGGGGAGCGAACAGGAUUAGAUACCCUGGUAGUCCACGCCGUAAACGAUGGAUACUAGCUGUCCGGAUGCAAAUCUGGGCGGCCAAGCGGAAAGUGAUAAGUAUCCCACUGGGAGAUCCCAAGGUGAUACGCGAGGAACCUUACCAGGGCUUAAAUGUGGUCUGACAGCUUUAGAGAUAGAGUUUCCUUCGGGCAGAUCACAAGGUGCUGCAUGGUUGUCGUCAGCUCGUGCCGUGAGGUGUCAGGUUAAGUCCUAUAACGAGCGCAACCCCUGCCGUUAGUUGCCAGCAUGUAAUGAUGGGGACUCUAACGGGACUGCCGGUGCAAACCGCGAGGAAGGUGGGGAUGACGUCAAAUCAUCACGGCCCUUACGUCCUGGGCCACACACGUGCUACAAUGGCCGGUACAGAGAGCAGCCACUGGGCAACCAGGAGCGAAUCUACAAAACCGGUCACAGUUCGGAUCGGGGUCUGCAACUCGACCCCGUGAAGCUGGAAUCGCUAGUAAUCGGAUAUCAGCCAUGAUCCGGUGAAUACGUUCCCGGGCCUUGUACACACCGCCCGUCAAGCCAUGGAAGCCGGGAGUGCCUGAAGUCCGUCACCGCAAGGAGCGGCCUAGGGCAAGAUCGGUAACUAGGGCU
This 1384-nucleotide ribosomal RNA is filed under the name Arenibacter sp. RNAcentral's name for it is "bacterial SSU rRNA". It matches the Rfam family "Bacterial small subunit ribosomal RNA". Lineage: Bacteria; Pseudomonadati; Bacteroidota; Flavobacteriia; Flavobacteriales; Flavobacteriaceae. The record is from RNAcentral. RNAcentral also lists the same sequence under 1 other name.